GGGGAAUAUUGCGCAAUGGGGGAAACCCUGACGCAGCAACGCCGCGUGAAGGAAGAAGGCUUUCGGGUUGUAAACUUCUUUAGUCGGGGACGAAAAAAAUGACGGUACCCGAAGAAUAAGCCACGGCUAACUACGUGCCAGCAGCCGCGGUAAUACGUAGGUGGCGAGCGUUGUCCGGAAUUACUGGGUGUAAAGGGCGUGUAGGCGGGUUAUCAAGUCAGAUGUGAAAUUCCAGGGCUCAACCCUGGCGCUGCAUCUGAAACUGAUGAUCUUGAGUACUGGAGAGGGAAGCGGAAUUCCUAGUGUAGCGGUGAAAUGCGUAGAUAUUAGGAGGAACACCAGUGGCGAAGGCGGCUUUCUGGACAGUAACUGACGCUGAGGCGCGAAAGCGUGGGGAGCGAAC
RNAcentral lists this ribosomal RNA (403 nucleotides) under uncultured bacterium. Its description in RNAcentral is "bacterial SSU rRNA". It matches the Rfam family "Bacterial small subunit ribosomal RNA", at positions 356 to 773 of the family's 1533-position model. The record is from RNAcentral.